CAGUCCAAAACCUAGAAACAAUUGUCGUCUUGCAAGCCGAGAAAUUUUAGGUUUCAUUCUCUUACGACGAUGAUAUUCUUUAAAACCAACAAUGGAGUUUCGACAGAUCGAGUGUCUCAAAUCAGCGUGAACGAUCUCUUUCUGGCUUUUCAAUCGUCUUCAAUCGCUUCCUUUAGUCUUCUGUGCUGAUUAACCGAAACGUUUUGAGCAGACUCAUUCCCUUUAUCUCCUUCUUAACUCCAUCAACCACAAACCGACAUUCAAUGGAUCUUUCUCUUCUGUAAAGCGGUGUGUAUCUACACCUAUAAAAAGGUUCUCUGAGAGCUUCGAGAGAUUGAGUUGAGCUGAUGGACCAAGUAACAGUCAGAUCAAGAUGGACAAGGGAAUUGCUACAAUUCAAGCUAUCACAUGGGAGGUCGGACAGGGUGAGUUUAUAAGAACUGCAAUCCUUUUUGUAUGAAAAGGGGAAUGAAUGAUUGUUUGUUUGCAGAAAAACAGGUUCGUGCUUUGGAUUUUUUUUUAAAUGGAGGGAUAGAAGUUGCGAUGGAGGAGUCUGUCAUGAAUGCAUAGCUUCUCAUGAGGAUGUUGCUCAAAUUCGAUGUCAUCAAAGGAGAAGGGAAAGCUAGAGUACAACGAUAACACAGAGUUCAAUGUUUCAUCUACUGCAUUCUUCAUCUGUCUGCAUCACCUAUGUUUACCCAAUCAAAAUGUCAACAACAGUGGUGAACGAUAUGCAUCAGGUGACGAGAUAGCCGGGGCUGGGAUUGGAUGAGCUUGAGCAGCUAGACCGUCCAGGAUAUAUAUCACAGGCAAAUAAGAUACACAAAGGUAUACACAAUCUCAAGAAAUCACAAGCUUAUAUUUGAUUCUUUGGUCCAAAGAGAAUUUAGAACAGUACCAAAUCUGAGAUUUGUUUUCUUAUUGCCAGUCCCGGUCUGAUGCUUGAUCAACUAUCUGACCCAAAACAAAGGUACAUGGAGAGCCUCACAGUGUUCAGUAAUCUCAAUACAACACUCUCAUAUUGAUUAAUUUACAGGAGGUGAUGUUAUUGGAAACCAACAGAGAUCUUAAGAGAAAGGUAGUGCCAUCAAAAUCUUAUAGCCCAAGAAAUUGAAUUCAUUUGAGAUCUUUCACAACAUUGUUGUCUUUCUCUCUUUAUCUAUUUCUGUUGGAGGAAAGUGAAGCCGCCCUUAAUCAAUCAUUAUGAGGAGCUUCUUCUUCUGCAGAACAUUCCCAACAAUAGCAACAACAAGGCAUGAGCUCUUAUCAAGCAAACUUUUCGAAGCAAGAAUUGGUUUUCUUCAGGCCUUUACAAGGAAUGUAGCAUUGCAGAUGAGGUAUUCAUCAUAGGGAAACAGUUAAGACCCAAUGAAUUGACCUUUUAUGGUCAGCUAGAUUUAUAAUUGAGUUUUGUUUGUUUUUAUGGAACGAUUAUUAUUACAAUCGUUCAGUAUAUAUUUGCAGGUUCUGUACCAGUGGUUAUAUGUAAUUGACUACUUAUACCUGAGAGGUUUACAUGGUGUUA
Molecule: long non-coding RNA, 1525 nt
Organism: Brassica napus (rape)
Lineage: Eukaryota; Viridiplantae; Streptophyta; Magnoliopsida; Brassicales; Brassicaceae
Exons: 3
Source: RefSeq, a predicted model, not a curated record